CAGGGAUUGAACUCGGAACCUUGUGCUUGCGAGGCAGGCGGUGGAACCACUGAGCUAAAUCCCUGGCCCCACAAUUCUAUUCUUGAAGAACAGCAGUGUAACAUCAAAGCGUACUUAAAAGGACAAGAAAAAAAUCGGUUGGCUGGCCUGAACCCAGCAAGUGGUGCUGGAACAGGGACCUGAAGCUGGUGUGAGGUUGAGUGAGGAAGCCAAAGGAAAGUGAAACUGGAAGAGGAACUUGAAGCUUUAAGGCCAUCAGCUCAGGCAGCCCAGGAUGAGACUGCCCACAUCCUCACUGUGCUCGUAGACAGCAGGAGAGACGGAGGCAUGUUUGCGGGUAGCACUAGAUACAGCAGCAGGGGCGGAGUCUGACCACAGACUGCUCAAAAGACGGACUCUGGCCUGGAAAGAACAAUCAGAGGCCUCCUGUCUGUGCUGCACAGGGAACCCAGGCCCUCCAGGCACCCAAGCUCAGAGUAUGAUUUCAAGAGUCCCAGAACUUCAAACAGCUGAGCCCAGAGAGACACCCAGGAGGCACCCAUGGGUCACGCAGGGAGCCAGCCUCACCCACAGA
Molecule: non-coding RNA, 574 nt
Organism: Heterocephalus glaber (naked mole-rat)
Lineage: Eukaryota; Metazoa; Chordata; Mammalia; Rodentia; Bathyergidae
Source: RefSeq, a predicted model, not a curated record